UCCGGGCUGCAUUCGAAAUAACUCAUAUUCUUGUGAUAGUGUGUUGAGUUUGGAUCUUUUUACCUCAAUGGUGCCUUCGUGAGUUACUUCCAACGUAUCCCAUAUUUCUUUUGCUGUUUUACAGUGAGAUAUGCGGAAAAACUCAUCCAUUCCUAGUGCAGAUUGUAAUAUAUUCUUAGCCUUUUUAUCGAAAAGCACUUUUCUUUUAUCCUCAUCCGUCCAAGAAUUUUUUAUCUUUAUUUCUUCUUUGUUAUUGAUGACAGUUUUUGGAAUAUG
This 276-nucleotide long non-coding RNA is filed under the name Cicer arietinum (chickpea). RNAcentral describes it as "long non-coding RNA (CARI_LNC003320)". The record is from RNAcentral. Lineage: Eukaryota; Viridiplantae; Streptophyta; Magnoliopsida; Fabales; Fabaceae.